Molecule: ribosomal RNA, 253 nt
Filed under: uncultured bacterium
Lineage: Bacteria
Description: partial 16S ribosomal RNA
Rfam family: Bacterial small subunit ribosomal RNA
Source: RNAcentral
UACGGAGGGUGCGAGCGUUGUCCGGAAUCAUUGGGCGUAAAGGGCGCGCAGGCGGCUACGCACGUCCGUUGUGAAAUCGCUCGGCUCAACUGGGCGGGGUCAGCGGAUACGGCGUAGCUGGAGCAAGCUAGGGGGCAAUGGAAUUCCCGGUGUAGUGGUGGAAUGCGUAGAUAUCGGGAGGAACACCAGUGGCGAAGGCGGUUGCCUGGAGCUUUGCUGACGCUGAGGCGCGAAAGCGUGGGGAGCGAUCCGG